This 597-nucleotide ribosomal RNA is filed under the name Acanthobothrium sp. 1. RNAcentral's name for it is "bacterial SSU rRNA". It matches the Rfam family "Eukaryotic small subunit ribosomal RNA", at positions 576 to 1039 of the family's 1831-position model. The record is from RNAcentral. Lineage: Eukaryota; Metazoa; Platyhelminthes; Cestoda; Tetraphyllidea; Onchobothriidae.
GCGGUAAUUCCAGCUCCAAUAGCGUAUAUUAAAGUUGCUGCAGUUAAAAAGCUCGUAGUUGGAUCUCGGUAGCACUGUUGCUCGUCAGUCCUUGGGCGAGAGGCUAUGUGUGCAUGGGUUAAGCCCGUGUUGCCGUGGCCGCUCUGCUCGAGUUGGCGAUGCGGUGGUGUCACCUUUCAGCCAUGUCUGUGGUGAAAUACCCGCAGGUGUAGGCGAGUGUCGGGCGGCGCCUUGCAUUCGUAGGGCUCGUCGGCUCGUCUGCAUGCCUUUGGAUGCCCUUUAAAAGGUGUCUGUGGGCGGAUGGCACGUUUACUUUGAACAAAUUUGAGUGCUCAAACCAGGCCGAUGUUGCCUGAAAAGUUUUGCAUGGAAUAAUGGAAUAGGACUUCGGUUCUAUUUCGUUGGUUUUCGGAUCCGAAGUAAUGAUCAAAAGAGACAGGCGGGGACGUUUGUAUGGCUGCGCUAGAGGUGAAAUUCAUGGACCGUAGCCAGACAAACUAAAGCGAAAGCAUUCGUCAAGCAUGUUUUCAUUGGCCAUGAGCGAAAGUCAGAGGCUCGAAGACGAUCAGAUACCGUCCUAGUUCUGACCAUAAACGA